UCGCACGUACUCUACGAUCCCCGUCCCUAUCGUCAUAAAGCAAGUAUGCGUCUGAUAAACCGAGAGAUGCCAAAGUUUCAUGAAGGAGUUCCACAAAAAACCGUGUCAACCCAAUUUUUGGUUCUCCUUUAGUCAAGAAAAAACGAUAUCUUCUCAAAUAACUCCAAUGGCCAUAACCCAUCCCUCCCCUUCCCCUUUUCCCCUUGCCUUAGUACUAGUGCUACCAAUCAGGUUGAGCAAUCCUUAAGGAUUCACAGGCGCGACUUAAUAGCGCGUUCCUCUCCUUGUGGUUGACUGUUUCCAUCGAGCUUUGUAUGACCAAGGGCCAGAGUGUCCCUCUGACAUCUCUAAAUUCCGAAGACAAUUUCCGCCUAUCCCCUUGUAUCAUUACAAUGGUAUACAAUUGUUGCCAAUGGAUAGCGAGCAAAGAUCAAUGCGAUUGAGAGGAUGUCCACCC
Molecule: small RNA, 457 nt
Filed under: Histoplasma capsulatum
Lineage: Eukaryota; Fungi; Ascomycota; Eurotiomycetes; Onygenales; Ajellomycetaceae
Also listed under: 1 other name
Description: hypothetical RNA
Source: RNAcentral